GAAUUCGCCCUUAGAGUUUGAUCCUGGCUCAGGACGAACGCUGGCGGCGCGCCUAACACAUGCAAGUCGAACGGAGCUUAGAGAGCUUGCUUUUUAAGCUUAGUGGCGAACGGGUGAGUAACGCGUGAGUAACCUGCCCUAGAGUGGGGGACAACAGUUGGAAACGACUGCUAAUACCGCAUAAGCCCACGGUACCGCAUGGUACUGAGGGAAAAGGAUUUAUUCGCUUUAGGAUGGACUCGCGUCCAAUUAGCUAGUUGGUGAGGUAACGGCCCACCAAGGCGACGAUUGGUAGCCGGACUGAGAGGUUGAACGGCCACAUUGGGACUGAGACACGGCCCAGACUCCUACGGGAGGCAGCAGUGGGGGAUAUUGCACAAUGGGGGAAACCCUGAUGCAGCGACGCCGCGUGGAGGAAGAAGGUUUUCGGAUUGUAAACUCCUGUCGUUAGGGACGAUAAUGACGGUACCUAACAAGAAAGCACCGGCUAACUACGUGCCAGCAGCCGCGGUAAAACGUAGGGUGCAAGCGUUGUCCGGAAUUACUGGGUGUAAAGGGAGCGCAGGCGGGAAGACAAGUUGGAAGUGAAAACCAUGGGCUCAACCCAUGAAUUGCUUUCAAAACUGUUUUUCUUGAGUAGUGCAGAGGUAGAUGGAAUUCCCGGUGUAGCGGUGGAAUGCGUAGAUAUCGGGAGGAACACCAGUGGCGAAGGCGGUCUACUGGGCACCAACUGACGCUGAGGCUCGAAAGCAUGGGUAGCAAACAGGAUUAGAUACCCUGGUAGUCCAUGCCGUAAACGAUGAUUACUAGGUGUUGGGGGAUUGACCCCCUCAGUGCCGCAGUUAACACAAUAAGUAAUCCACCUGGGGGAGUACGACCGCAAGGUUGAAACUCAAAGGAAUUGACGGGGGCCCGCACAAGCAGUGGAGUAUGUGGUUUAAUUCGAAGCAACGCGAAGAACCUUACCAGGUCUUGACAUCCGAUGCAUAGCACAGAGAUGUGUGAAAUCCUUCGGGACAUCGAGACAGGUGGUGCAUGGUUGUCGUCAGCUCGUGUCGUGAGAUGUUGGGUUAAGUCCCGCAACGAGCGCAACCCUUAUUGCCAGUUACUACGUUAAGAGGACUCUGGCGAGACUGCCGUUGACAAAACGGAGGAAGGUGGGGAUGACGUCAAAUCAUCAUGCCCUUUAUGACCUGGGCUACACACGUACUACAAUGGCGUUAAACAAAGAGAAGCAAGACCGCGAGGUGGAGCAAAACUCAAAAACAACGUCUCAGUUCAGAUUGCAGGCUGCAACUCGCCUGCAUGAAGUCGGAAUUGCUAGUAAUCGCGGAUCAGCAUGCCGCGGUGAAUAAAUUCCCGGGCCUUGCACACACCGCCCGUCA
This 1385-nucleotide ribosomal RNA is filed under the name uncultured bacterium. Its description in RNAcentral is "bacterial SSU rRNA". It matches the Rfam family "Bacterial small subunit ribosomal RNA". The record is from RNAcentral.